CAGUCGCCGCGGUAAUACGAGGGGGGCAAGCGUUGUUCGGAAUUAUUGGGCGUAAAGGGUGCGUAGGCGGCUUGACAAGUCUUGUGCGAAAUCUAUGGGCUCAACCCAUAGUCUGCACGGGAAACUGUCGGGCUUGAGAAUGGGAGAGGUGAGUGGAAUUUCCGGUGUAGCGGUGAAAUGCGUAGAUAUCGGAAGGAACACCAGUGGCGAAGGCGGCUCACUGGACGCGUAUUGACGCUGAGGUGCGAAAGCGUGGGGAGCAAACAGGAUUAGAUACCCCAGUAGUCCCUGUCUCUUAUAC
RNAcentral lists this ribosomal RNA (301 nucleotides) under uncultured bacterium. RNAcentral describes it as "partial 16S ribosomal RNA". It matches the Rfam family "Bacterial small subunit ribosomal RNA", at positions 509 to 807 of the family's 1533-position model. The record is from RNAcentral.